AACGAACGCUGGCGGCAGGCCUAACACAUGCAAGUCGAACGCCGUAGCAAUACGGAGUGGCAGACGGGUGAGUAACGCGUGGGAACAUACCCCUCGGUUCGGAAUAACUCAGGGAAACUUGAGCUAAUACCGGAUACGUCCGAGGUCUUAAUCGGCCUUGGAGAAAGAUUUAUCGCCGGAGGAUUGGCCCGCGUCUGAUUAGCUCGUUGGUGAGGUAAUGGCUCACCAAGGCGACGAUCAGUAGCUGGUCUGAGAGGAUGAUCAGCCACAUUGGGACUGAGACACGGCCCAAACUCCUACGGGAGGCAGCAGUGGGGAAUAGUUGGACAAUGGGCGAAAGCCUGAUCCAGCCAUGCCGCGUGAGUGAUGAAGG
This 373-nucleotide ribosomal RNA is filed under the name uncultured bacterium. Its description in RNAcentral is "bacterial SSU rRNA". It matches the Rfam family "Bacterial small subunit ribosomal RNA", at positions 29 to 414 of the family's 1533-position model. The record is from RNAcentral.